CCAGCUCUCUUUGCCUUUUGGCUUAGAUCAAGUGUAGUAUCUGUUCUUUUCAGUUUAAUCUCUGAAAGUGUUCCAAGGAACACAGCAUUGAUUAAUCUCAUUUUUGGACCCCGUGGCGGGGCCUCUGUGCUUGCGCAUGCCCUGCCACACAGUGUCAUCGGGCUUACACUAUCCCCGAUCGACGCGACUUUUU
Molecule: small nuclear RNA, 193 nt
Organism: Aspergillus terreus NIH2624
Lineage: Eukaryota; Fungi; Ascomycota; Eurotiomycetes; Eurotiales; Aspergillaceae
Rfam family: U2 spliceosomal RNA
About the family: U2 is a small nuclear RNA (snRNA) component of the spliceosome (involved in pre-mRNA splicing). Complementary binding between U2 snRNA (in an area lying towards the 5' end but 3' to hairpin I) and the branchpoint sequence (BPS) of the intron results the bulging out of an unpaired adenosine, on the BPS, which initiates a nucleophilic attack at the intronic 5' splice site, thus starting the first of two transesterification reactions that mediate splicing.
Source: Rfam